GUUAUUACAUUGUCGGUAUUUUUGAUUUAGCAAAUAUAGAGGGUCACUCGCAAUCGCAAGAGAGCAAGUGAGUGGAUUAUAUCGUUGGACUACGGAGAUGGUGCUCUUCCUCCUCGAUACAUACACAGAGAGAGA
Molecule: long non-coding RNA, 135 nt
Organism: Neodiprion fabricii
Lineage: Eukaryota; Metazoa; Arthropoda; Insecta; Hymenoptera; Diprionidae
Exons: 2
Source: RefSeq, a predicted model, not a curated record